Molecule: ribosomal RNA, 368 nt
Filed under: uncultured eukaryote
Lineage: Eukaryota
Description: partial 18S ribosomal RNA
Rfam family: Eukaryotic small subunit ribosomal RNA
Source: RNAcentral
CAAUAGCGUAUAUUAACGUUGUUGCAGUUAAAAAGCUCGUAGUUGGAUUUCUGGAGGGAGCGUCGGCCCGUAUUUACGAGUGCGUGACGUCUCUGUCCAUCCUUGCGGGAAGGCACGGCAUUGAUUUGUUGUGUCGGAUCGCAUCAUUUACUGUGAAAAAAUUAGAGUGUUCAAAGCAGGCUUUCGCUUGAAUACAUUAGCAUGGAAUAAUAAGAUAGGACCUUGGUACUAUUUUGUUGGUUUGCGCACCAAGGUAAUGAUUAAUAGGGACAGUUGGGGGUAUUCGUAUUUCAUUGUCAGAGGUGAAAUUCUUGGAUUUUUGAAAGACGAACUACUGCGAAAGCAUUUACCAAGGAUGUUUUCAUUAA